CCAAUAGCGUAUAUUAAAGUUGUUGCAGUUAAAAAGCUCGUAGUUGAAUUUCAGGCCUGGCUGGACGGUCCGCCUUUUGGGUGAGUACUGUCUGUGGUCGGGUCCUACCUUCUGGCGAAGCGUCAUGGCCUUAACCGGCCGUGGCGGGGAACCAGGACUUUUACUGUGAAAAAAUUAGAGUGUUCAAAGCAGGCAGUCGCUUGAAUACAUUAGCAUGGAAUAAUGGAAUAGGACAAUGGUUCUAUUUGUUGGUUUCUAGGACCGUUGUAAUGAUUAAUAGGGAUAGUUGGGGGCAUUAGUAUUCAAUUGUCAGAGGUGAAAUUCUUGGAUUUAUUGAAGACUAACUACUGCGAAAGCAUUUGCCAAGGAUGUUUUCAUUAAUCAAGAACGAAAGUUAGGGGAUCGAAGACGAUCAGAUACCAUCGUAGUCUUAACCAUAAACUAUGCCGACUAGGGAUCGGAUGAUGUUAAUUUUUUAAUGACUCAUUCGGCGCCUUACG
RNAcentral lists this ribosomal RNA (500 nucleotides) under uncultured Glomeromycotina. Its description in RNAcentral is "partial small subunit ribosomal RNA". It matches the Rfam family "Eukaryotic small subunit ribosomal RNA", at positions 591 to 1092 of the family's 1831-position model. Lineage: Eukaryota; Fungi; Glomeromycota. The record is from RNAcentral.